RNAcentral lists this non-coding RNA (75 nucleotides) under unclassified sequences. Its description in RNAcentral is "potC RNA". It matches the Rfam family "potC RNA". The record is from RNAcentral.
UAGACGGUGCCCACGUCACACUCUCCUUUAGGAUCUUUACCCUUUCCUAAAAAUAAUUGUCGUGGGCAUUAAAAA